UACAGAGGUCCCAAGCGUUGUUCGGAUUCACUGGGCGUAAAGGGUGCGCAGGCGGGUUUGCAAGCCCGAUGUGAAAGCCCCGGGCUUAACCCGGGAAUGGCAUUGGAUACUGCAGAUCUGGAGGAUCGGAGGGGGGACUGGAAUUCUUGGUGUAGCAGUGAAAUGCGUAGAUAUCAGGAGGAACACCAGUGGCGAAGGCGAGUCCCUGGACGAUACCUGACACUGAGGCACGAAAGCUAGGGGAGCAAACAGG
RNAcentral lists this ribosomal RNA (253 nucleotides) under uncultured bacterium. Its description in RNAcentral is "partial 16S ribosomal RNA". It matches the Rfam family "Bacterial small subunit ribosomal RNA", at positions 524 to 776 of the family's 1533-position model. The record is from RNAcentral.